This 82-nucleotide transfer RNA is filed under the name Caudoviricetes sp. RNAcentral describes it as "tRNA-Tyr". It matches the Rfam family "tRNA". Rfam says of the family: Transfer RNA (tRNA) molecules are approximately 80 nucleotides in length. Their secondary structure includes four short double-helical elements and three loops (D, anti-codon, and T loops). Lineage: Duplodnaviria; Heunggongvirae; Uroviricota; Caudoviricetes. The record is from RNAcentral.
CGGUAGGUCGUAUAGCGGCAAUUACGGAUGACUGUAAAUCAUUUGCUUUCGGGCUUCGAAGGUUCGAGUCCUUCCCUACCGA